GAAGUGAGAUGAGAUAGCCGCUGUCCAAUCCCCUUUAUUAAGGGGGUCGGAUGGAGGAAAGUCCGGACUCCGCAGGGCAGGGAGGUCGCUAACAGCGACCGCCCCCAUACUUAUUCAAUAGGUGUGGGGGUAGGGAACAGGGCCACAGAAAAUAAACCGCCUGCCAGCCGAAGGCUGGGGUCAUUAGUUUACAGUCAGAAGUCAUUAGUUUUUGCUUAUGACUCAUGACAAAAGAACUUUGACUCCGAGACGAAGUCUCGGCGGGUAAGGGUGAAACGGUGGGGUAAGAGCCCACCAGCCCCGAUGGUGACAUCGGGGGCUUGGUAACCCCCUCAUGGAGCAAGGCCAAAUAGGAAGACGUAUAAGGAUUGCCCGUCCAUGGCCACUAUACGUGGCGCGUCUUCGGGUUGGUCGCUUGAGGUGCUGAGCAAUCAGCAUCCCAGAUGAAUGGCUAUUACCCCCUCCCCCCCUCUUGGAGAGGGGGGAGGGGGACACAGAAUCCGGCUUACGGUCUCACUUCAGCU
Non-coding RNA from Deltaproteobacteria bacterium GWF2_42_12, 524 nucleotides. Lineage: Bacteria; Deltaproteobacteria. The record is from Rfam.